UACGGGGGGAGCAAGCGUUGUUCGGAUUUACUGGCGUAAAGAGCUCGUAGGUGGUUUGUCGCGUUGUUCGUGAAAACUCACAACUCAAUUGUGGGCGUGCGGGCGAUACGGGCAGACUGGAGUACUGCAGGGGAGACUGGAAUUCCUGGUGUAGCGGUGAAAUGCGCAGAUAUCAGGAAGAACACCCGUGGCGAAGGCGGCUCUCUGGAACGCAACUGACGCUGAGACGCGAAAGCGUGGGGAGCAAACAGG
Molecule: ribosomal RNA, 252 nt
Filed under: uncultured bacterium
Lineage: Bacteria
Description: partial 16S ribosomal RNA
Rfam family: Bacterial small subunit ribosomal RNA
Source: RNAcentral